GGUUUGUUGUAAAAAAUAAUAAAUCUUACCUGCUCAAUGUAAAAUAUAAAUAGCCGCGGUAAUUUGACUGUGCAAAGGUAGCAUAAUCAUUAGUCUUUUGAUUGGGGGCUGGAAUGAAGGGUUUGACGGGGGGCAGCUUUAUAAGGAUAAUGUUUGUGAAUUUUAGUUUAUUGUGAAGAUGCAGUUUAAUGUGUUUAUUUGACGAGAAGACCCUAUAAAGCUUUAUAGUUGAGGUUGUUAAGGCAGGGCUGUUUUGUUGGGGCAACAUUUUUUUACAAUAAUAACAUAUUAAUAAAUAUGAGGUUUUUAGGUUGAUUUUAUGAUCCAUAAUUUUUGAAAAUUAGAAAAGUUACUUUAGGGAUAACAGCGUAAUUAUUUUGGAGAGUUCAUAUCGAUGAGGUAGUUUGCGACCUCGAUGUUGAAUUAGGAAACCUUGUCUUCGCAGCAGAGGGCCGAGGGGGUCUGUUCGACCCUUAAAUUCCUACA
This 486-nucleotide ribosomal RNA is filed under the name Clinopodes carinthiacus. RNAcentral's name for it is "partial large subunit ribosomal RNA". It matches the Rfam family "Bacterial large subunit ribosomal RNA", at positions 1825 to 2600 of the family's 2925-position model. The record is from RNAcentral. Lineage: Eukaryota; Metazoa; Arthropoda; Chilopoda; Geophilomorpha; Geophilidae.